RNAcentral lists this ribosomal RNA (245 nucleotides) under uncultured Clostridium sp. Its description in RNAcentral is "partial 16S ribosomal RNA". It matches the Rfam family "Bacterial small subunit ribosomal RNA", at positions 524 to 768 of the family's 1533-position model. Lineage: Bacteria; Bacillati; Bacillota; Clostridia; Eubacteriales; Clostridiaceae. The record is from RNAcentral.
UACGUAGGUGGCAAGCGUUGUCCGGAUUUACUGGGCGUAAAGGAUGCGUAGGUGGAUAUUUAAGUGGGAUGUGAAAUACCCGAGCUCAACUUGGGUGCUGCAUUCCAAACUGGAUAUCUAGAGUGCAGGAGAGGUAAGUGGAAUUCCUAGUGUAGCGGUGAAAUGCGUAGAGAUUAGGAAGAACACCAGUGGCGAAGGCGACUUACUGGACUGUAACUGACACUGAGGCAUGAAAGCGUGGGGAG